CAGCAGCCACGGUAAUACGAAGGGUGCAAGCGUUAAUCGGAAUUACUGGGCGUAAAGCGUGCGCAGGCGGUUUGUUAAGACAGAUGUGAAAUCCCCGGGCUCAACCUGGGAACUGCAUUUGUGACUGGCAAGCUAGAGUGUGGCAGAGGGGGGUGGAAUUCCGCGUGUAGCAGUGAAAUGCGUAGAUAUGCGGAGGAACACCGAUGGCGAAGGCAGCCCCCUGGGCCAACACUGACGCUCAUGCACGAAAGCGUGGGGAGCAAACAGGAUUAGAUACCCGGGUAGUCCCUGUCUCUUAUAC
RNAcentral lists this ribosomal RNA (301 nucleotides) under uncultured bacterium. RNAcentral describes it as "partial 16S ribosomal RNA". It matches the Rfam family "Bacterial small subunit ribosomal RNA", at positions 509 to 807 of the family's 1533-position model. The record is from RNAcentral.